GGAAGUAAACAGAGCAAUCGCCGGUGGAUAACCGCAAGGUACCACGGGAGGAAAGUCCGAGCUCCAUAGGGCAGGGUGCCGGCUAACGGCCGGUGGGGGCAACCCUAAGGCAAGUGCCACAGAAAUGUAGACCGCCGAUGGAGGGAAACCUCACAGGCAAGGAUGCAACGGUGCGGUAAGAGCGCACCAGCAGCAUGGGAACAUGCUGGCUAGGUAAACCCCACCUGGUGCAAGACCUGAUAGAGAACCCGUAUCCUUUGGAUACAGCUGUUGCCCGCAGUGGUUCUGGGUAGGUCGCUGGAGUUAAGUAGCAAUACUUAACCUAGACAGAUGAUUGCUGCUCCAAUAGUGGGAGAUACUUACAAGCUAUCGAUGACCACAUAAGGAGAACAGAACUCGGCUUAUUGGUUGCUUCCAUUU
This 420-nucleotide RNase P RNA is filed under the name Shimazuella alba. RNAcentral's name for it is "Bacterial RNase P class A". It matches the Rfam family "Bacterial RNase P class A". From Rfam's summary of the family: Ribonuclease P (RNase P) is a ubiquitous endoribonuclease, found in archaea, bacteria and eukarya as well as chloroplasts and mitochondria. Its best characterised activity is the generation of mature 5'-ends of tRNAs by cleaving the 5'-leader elements of precursor-tRNAs. Cellular RNase Ps are ribonucleoproteins. Lineage: Bacteria; Bacillati; Bacillota; Bacilli; Caryophanales; Thermoactinomycetaceae. The record is from Rfam by way of RNAcentral.